AAAAUAAUUAAGGGAUUCAGGUUCUGUGUGUGCAUGAUGGACACUUUGUAACUGCUUUUACUUUUAAUCUUUUACUCUCACUAACACUAUUACCAGUCAAAUUGUGUGCAUGAGUUCUUAUGAAUUUUCAGCCCUCUGAAAAGUGGCGGGUUGUGACAGACGGAGCCUACCUCGUCCUCCUUCACCUCUUCCGGUCCCAACGGUUGGACCGCGUUUACAGAGCUGCCGCAUCCCAUAUUCACCUGACGGCUACGGUGUGAAAUAAGUCCAUAAAGGUGAUAAAUGUCUGCUUUGAUUACA
Molecule: long non-coding RNA, 300 nt
Organism: Acanthopagrus latus (yellowfin seabream)
Lineage: Eukaryota; Metazoa; Chordata; Actinopteri; Spariformes; Sparidae
Exons: 2
Source: RefSeq, a predicted model, not a curated record